Molecule: unclassified non-coding RNA, 346 nt
Filed under: soil metagenome
Description: partial contains 5.8S ribosomal RNA, internal transcribed spacer 2, and large subunit ribosomal RNA
Rfam family: 5.8S ribosomal RNA (bases 1-120)
Source: RNAcentral
GAUGAAGAACGUAGCGAAAUGCGAUAAGUAGUGUGAAUUGCAGAAUUCAGUGAAUCAUCGAGUCUUUGAACGCACAUUGCGCCCCCUGGUAUUCCGGGGGGCAUGCCUGUCCGAGCGUCAUUGCUGCCCUCAAGCACGGCUUGUGUGUUGGGCCCCGUCCUCCGAUCCCGGGGGACGGGCCCGAAAGGCAGCGGCGGCACCGCGUCCGGUCCUCGAGCGUAUGGGGCUUUGUCACCCGCUCUGUAGGCCCGGCCGGCGCUUGCCGAUAAACCCAAAUUUUUAUCCAGGUUGACCUCGGAUCAGGUAGGGAUACCCGCUGAACUUAAGCAUAUCAAUAAGCGGAGGA